GUCUAUGGCCAUGUCACCCUCAACAAGCCCAGUGUCUGAUCUCGAAAGCUAAGCAAGGUCAGUCCUGGUUAGUACUUGGAUAGGAGACCACCUAGGAAGACCAGGUGCUGUAGGCA
Molecule: ribosomal RNA, 116 nt
Filed under: Pteropus alecto (black flying fox)
Lineage: Eukaryota; Metazoa; Chordata; Mammalia; Chiroptera; Pteropodidae
Source: RNAcentral